UACGUAGGGUGCAAGCGUUGUCCGGAAUUAUUGGGCGUAAAGGGCUCGUAGGCGGUCUGUCACGUCGGGAGUGAAAACUCGGGGCUUAACCCCGAGCCUGCUUCCGAUACGGGCAGACUAGAGGUAUGCAGGGGAGAAUGGAAUUCCUGGUGUAGCGGUGAAAUGCGCAGAUAUCAGGAGGAACACCGGUGGCGAAGGCGGUUCUCUGGGAAUGUCCUGACGCUGAGGAGCGAAAGUGUGGGGAGCGAACAGG
RNAcentral lists this ribosomal RNA (253 nucleotides) under uncultured bacterium. Its description in RNAcentral is "partial 16S ribosomal RNA". It matches the Rfam family "Bacterial small subunit ribosomal RNA", at positions 524 to 776 of the family's 1533-position model. The record is from RNAcentral.